UCGGACAAAAUACAAUCAAGAAACAAGAGCUAAGUGUAUGAAGAAACAUUACAAAAUAUGUUAGCAUUUUCAGGGGUCUAGUUGUACCCAAAUAUGGUGGAGGAAACAAUGACUUCAUGGAAUUGUUCCAAUUCCUUCAGAUCGGCCUCAUGACUAUCAAACUCGGUACCAUCAUCUCGAUUGCUUCCCUUAGCAAAUGUGAAAAGGAAAAUGACUAAAACGUAAAGGAAUAUAAAUUAGAUAAAAUAUACAAAUUCAUAAAUUUACAAGAGUAACAUCAAAUAUUGGAAUUAGCUUAAAAUAAGCAGCUAAAACAACAAGAAAAAUGGGAAAAUGCAAACAUGACAAGCAUGAAAGAAUUUCAAGAACAAAAAAACAUUUUUAUUCACUAGCUUUCUUUUUCCCAUUCAAGUAUACAGCCAAUAAAAGUGAGAAAAUAAGAGUAUAAUAAGCAGCUAAGAAGGUUAACCAAAUGAAGUGAAUUACUAUGUUUCUAACCAUCUGGUCUAUAAAUCUCCAUACAAUAUGGUUCAACAGCUUCACAAUCCUCCAGUUUUCUGAGAUAAAAGUAAAUGCCCAAUAUUGCUUUACGUCCUGUUAAAUAAUCAUUUCUCAUACAUUCUAACUGAGUAAUUAUAACCCUCUACUCUUCUAUAAUUAAGGAGUACAAUAUAGUUAAAAAUACCAACUUAUUGCCAUCAUCAUUUAUCUUUAAGGAGAUAGAAGCAUCAUUUAUUUCACAGGAUAUGGUCUACCGACAUAAACAUAGUGCAUUAUAGAAAUGGCAAUAUGUUACUAUUUAACUAUUUAGAAAUCAAAAGUACAGAAAUCGAAGCAUGAGCAAGUGAUAGAACAAACAAUAUUGGAAUCAUUUGUUUGCAAUUUCAGGGACAAAGAAUGUAGAAAGAAUAAAUACGAUCACUUUGACAACUAAUUGUAAACUUACAAGGCCAAAAUCUGAAGCACUAAUGUUUCGUGAUCAAGCUUCUGUAAAGAAUAGUCUGUCAAAAUUUUAUGUCGAUCAAAAAAAU
Molecule: long non-coding RNA, 1031 nt
Filed under: Olea europaea (common olive)
Lineage: Eukaryota; Viridiplantae; Streptophyta; Magnoliopsida; Lamiales; Oleaceae
Description: long non-coding RNA (OEUR_LNC003634)
Source: RNAcentral